GACGAACGCUGGCGGCGUGCUUAACACAUGCAAGUCGAACGGAAAGGCCCUGCUUUUGUGGGGUGCUCGAGUGGCGAACGGGUGAGUAACACGUGAGUAACCUGCCCUUGACUUUGGGAUAACUUCAGGAAACUGGGGCUACUACCGGAUAGGAGCUCCUGCUGCAUGGUGGGGGUUGGAACGUUUCGGCGGUUGGGGAUGGACUCGCGGCUUAUCAGCUUGUUGGUGGGGUAGUGGCUUACCAAGGCUUUGACGGGUAGCCGGCCUGAGAGGGUGACCGGCCACAAUGGGACUGAGAGACGGCCCAGACGGCUACGGGAGGCAGCGGUGGGGAAUAUUGCACAAUGGGCGGGAGCCUGAUGCAGCAACGCCGCGUGCGGGAUGACGGCCUGCGGGUUGUAAACCGCUGUCGCCUGUGACGAAGCGGGAGUGACGGUAAUGGGUAAAGAAGCACCGGCUAACUACGUG
RNAcentral lists this ribosomal RNA (468 nucleotides) under uncultured bacterium. RNAcentral's name for it is "partial 16S ribosomal RNA". It matches the Rfam family "Bacterial small subunit ribosomal RNA", at positions 28 to 507 of the family's 1533-position model. The record is from RNAcentral.